Molecule: long non-coding RNA, 629 nt
Organism: Brienomyrus brachyistius
Lineage: Eukaryota; Metazoa; Chordata; Actinopteri; Osteoglossiformes; Mormyridae
Exons: 3
Source: RefSeq, a predicted model, not a curated record
CGGUGCUUUACUGCGGGGCCGAUCGGCGAGAUUCACCUGCACAAUCGCUGGUUAUUAAAGAGCCGAUUGAGCUACUAAACAAGGAUACGCUAGAGCCGAAAUUGGCCUGUGAAGCAGAAAUAAAUAAAGCGGGUACAAGGGAAGCGAGAAGAUGGUGAAACCUAAGAAACGUAUAAGGAAGAUGCAUAAAAUAUCGCUGAGAUCCUGAGCGCCGGUGUUUCCCGGAAUCCUCCAUGUUAAUUAAUCUAAUGAAGCUCUACAUUCAGUCUCUGCGCUCCAGUAUCCGAGGACAUAAACAGCGGGAACUCGCCAGGUCAGAGCUGGCAGGAUGGAGGAUCACCCAUUGAUUCAUCUUGAGCUGGGGACAGUUUCCACUGAAGCAAAUCACUUCCGAGCCUCAUGGGUUCCAGGAUCGCGGCAGCGAAACGCUCUUGGGAAAAGAAGACUCAUUCUUAAUUUAAAGCUUUGUUUCUAAGCUAAUUUUGGGUCGGUAAGCGUGUGUCUCUCUGUGUAAGUACGGUGACAUUGAGGUACUGGGGCCUCUGGCAUAUUUAGGUCUAAAUUUUUGGAAAAUUUUGGGGAGGGGAAAAAGGAUUACAUCUGCAUUUCAGUACAAAAAUACUUUUUAC